UCAAGUCACUGCAGUAAAAACAUCUUCCUCACACACUGCCCGGUUAAAUUUUACAACUUCUCCUCCCAGAUGAUACAGUGUCAGCUUUAACCUCCUCCAUCAGCACCCUGUCCUCUUAAAUCAUCUGAAGGUGUGUUUUGGCAGCUCAUAUUUUAACUUUAAGAGGUGCAACAGUAUCAAGAGACACUCUGAACUUAUGAAAUGAAGCAAAAACAUGGAGAGAGGAGAGAUACAGAGCUCAUCCAGGCUGAACAUGAAGCAGCAGUGUUUUUAAAAUGCUCCAGAGGAAGAAAACUGAUGUUACAACUGAUUUAGUGAUGAUCUGACGUCUCCUGUAGUAACAGAGGCUGACAGGAUCUGAUCUGUGCCAGGCUGAGACAGUGUGUGUGUGCCAGCUCUGCCUGGCGUGGCAGCUUGAGAGAGGCUGGCCUGAGGUCAGGUUGACAUGAGGUGAAAAGGACGUAGCAGAUGGAGUCUGAAGACACUGAUGUGUAACGCUCAGUGGGAUUCAGAGAAGAGACCAAAAGACGGAGUUUAUAGAAGGGAUUCAUCAUCAGCUGCAGAUUAUCUAUUUGUCUUUUGCUUGAGGAUGAACAACGAGAGUGGCCCGUGAAAUGAUCCUUUAAAUAAAGAGACAGUCACUUCACACAGAAACAGAGCAACAGGAAAGAUCACACCAUCCACCAAAAGUGUCAGAAGGAUGAAGCAAAGAGAGAGCGGAGUGAUGAGGAGAAGCCCACUGACACCGCUCUGCACUGAAAUGUGUUUCUUCUAUUUCUCUUCACACAUCACAACCUCUGUGUGAGUGUGAAUUUGUGUGUGUGUGUGUGUGUGUGUGUGUGUGUGAGAGUGAAUGUGUGUGAGGCUGUUUGUGGAUGCAGAAGCUCUUCUACCUGAGCAGAGUCUCGAGGGAAACAGAUGGAGAGAGAUAUGAAACCUGUCUGGAGGAUGUUACAGGCAGAGUGUGAGGAAAGACAGAGAGGACAAAAUAAAAAGUGCAGCAGUGUUUGGCAAAGGAUGAGUAUGAGGUGUUAUCUGGGAUGUGAAGAUAUUCAUGUGUUUUUAUCAUCAAAUCCACAACUGGCUGGAGUCGGCACAUUACUGCUAACUGAUCAAGAUAAAUGAUAAAGAGUGACGAGGGCUCAGAGGCUUCAUGAGAACAUGAGUGUCAACAGUCUGAACAGUGAGUGAGUUAUGUGAUCAAUUCUUCAGUCUUCUCUCUAAACAAGUCACCAGGCCGAGUGAUGAAGCAGCUCAUUUUCUGCCAUCAAAGGUUUUUCUGGAGGUUUUGUGAAGGUGACUGAACUCAGAGAACGAUAUCUCAGCUUGACCACGUGAGGGUGGUCGAGCAUAUUGAAUAAAUCUGGCACAGUUCAUCUGUUUUGCUUCCUUCUCUCAUUUCAUGUGUUUCACUGCAGCAUACAUAUCAUCUUGCAUCACAGCUGUUCUCAUCUCAAGAUGGCCUCUACGUUUUUCUUCUAAAGCUCAGAGACGUUGCAUGAGCUCAAAUCUACUGUGAGGCUGAUCCAGAGUCUGUGGCUGUUUGAAUCAAAUACAUCAUCACUGUAGUCGUUAGUACUGGAGAGAGGAACAGAUAAUAUCAGUGUCAGUGUAUAUGAGGUGAGGGAGAGCCGGCAGGACUCCAGCCUGAGGCUUUAACAUGCAGACGAGCCAGGAGGAGGAAGAUGAGGAACCAGAUCAAACAGCCAGCAGUGGUUCUCUCCUCACACUAACUGCUGCAGGAAGAAAGUCAGGACGAGAGACUUUUUCACUGUGGAGAUAUCAUCACACACACACACACACACACACACACACACACCUCAGUCUGUGGAUAUCUCUCUCCUCAUCUGUGUUUCUAAAGUACCAGCUGAGGUUCAGAUCAAAGCCAAAGAUACUCUGGAAAAGUUACAAAAAUACGUGUUAGAGUAGAAGUGAAAUAUAUGUUGAUGUGGUUUGCUGCUGUUUGAUGAUUCUUCACACAGAGGCAACUGAAUCAGGACAAACAUGAUACUUGUUAUGUUAUAAGUGAAAUGACUAUAAUGCAUCACACUGGGUUUAAUGUGACACUCAGAGGAUCACAGAUGAGAGUUAAUGAGCCAACAGAACUGUAUUCAGCUCCAUGAGGCUAAAACAUGAGAACUUUCGGUUCAAACUCCUGAUGAACGAUGUAGAAACUGUCCUGGUCACUGUGAGCAACACUGAUAUGGAAAAGUCCAUGUCCACAAGGAAGGAAAUUAACACUGUAAUCAAUGAACAACAGACUAUUGUUCACUGAAAAAUCAGCUCACUGUUUGUGUGAUGUAAUGUGCAGUAACAUGUGUGUCAUAUUGUCACUGUUACAGUGAGCACAGUUUCCACAGGCUGCAGGCUGUUUGACAGCUUCACUACACUGAGACAUGAGAAAUCUUCCAGCUGGUUACAACCUGAGUUUAGUUUCUCCUCUGAGUCUGUCGCCUGUCGCUGUACAGCAGUUCAGUGAAAGUGAUUAACCUGGACUGCUCCCGUCAUGAUCCA
This is a long non-coding RNA of Acanthopagrus latus (yellowfin seabream), 2514 nucleotides long. RefSeq lists it as uncharacterized. The transcript is spliced from 3 exons. Lineage: Eukaryota; Metazoa; Chordata; Actinopteri; Spariformes; Sparidae. The record is from RefSeq and is a predicted model, not a curated record.